AUUUUGGUUUUUGGUACACAAACAAAGGCAAGGGUUUGGAUUUUCACUGUUCUGCAGGUCCUAUUUUGAGUGAUUGAGUUUUCACUAAACUGCCUCCACAUCCUUCCAGGCAUAGAGUUUCACUGAAAGUUUUCUCCUUCUCACCGAUGCCCUGCCCUCUUCUUUUGCUUACUUGAGCUGAUUUACCCUAAAGGAUAAGCACCUGCUCAUUCCCUGCCUCUCUCAGCAGCUAGGAAGGGAGUGACAUCACAUGUUUACAAGAAGAUUUCCUGCUAUUCAUUCUUCUUCCCUCAGGAAAUGCCACUUCAUUCCAACUGAUUUGGAGUACCCAGAAGAAUUUCAGUGAAGGCUGGGUGUUUUUUGAAAGGCACCAAUAAAUGUUCCCAUGGACAAGCAGAGAGACUGAUAAAAAUAUUUUAUUGCUAGAUUUAUAUUCCCAGAAACAUUGCAGCCGGGAAUCCGGGGGUCCGAGUUAUGCCACGAGUCGACCAGAGGGGCCCUGCAGAGCCCCAAGAGCCUGCACGAGAACAUCAGUCUUCCAACCGCUUACCAGAAGGGGGCACCAGAUCUGAA
Ornithorhynchus anatinus (platypus) is the source of this 573-nucleotide long non-coding RNA. RefSeq lists it as uncharacterized. The transcript has 3 exons. The record is from RefSeq and is a predicted model, not a curated record. NCBI's taxonomy places the organism in Eukaryota, Metazoa, Chordata, Mammalia, Monotremata, Ornithorhynchidae.